Molecule: long non-coding RNA, 339 nt
Filed under: Aotus nancymaae (Ma's night monkey)
Lineage: Eukaryota; Metazoa; Chordata; Mammalia; Primates; Aotidae
Description: lncRNA (ENSANAG00000039117.1)
Source: RNAcentral
GCCUGCUCUUUGUUUCAGGAGAAGAUACUAUCUCUAUCUUCUAAGGCUGUUUGCUAAAAAGCAUCUUUGAAAAGAUAACCUACAACAAAAAGUCAGUGUUCCUGCUCAUAAGAUGUGCAGAAAUAUGAGAGAACCAUGGAGAAUUGCCUGUCAAGAGCACAUGGUAUGGAAGCUAAUCUUUGAAGACACACGUAAUCAGCAAAAUGGUGAUUGUUGAAGGACAAGUGUUGCCUGACGUGCUAAUUUCUAGGUUGAAAAGAAACAUCAUUUUUGCAACAAUGAAAUUGUGAUCUGCCCUUCCUUGCAGUGUUAAGACGCUUCCCCCAACUCCUCCUCCCU